RNAcentral lists this ribosomal RNA (253 nucleotides) under uncultured bacterium. RNAcentral describes it as "partial 16S ribosomal RNA". It matches the Rfam family "Bacterial small subunit ribosomal RNA", at positions 524 to 776 of the family's 1533-position model. The record is from RNAcentral.
UACGAAGGGGGCUAGCGUUGCUCGGAAUCACUGGGCGUAAAGCGCGCGUAGGCGGGUCUUUAAGUCAGGGGUGAAAUCCUGGAGCUCAACUCCAGAACUGCCUUUGAUACUGAGGAUCUCGAGUCCGGGAGAGGUGAGUGGAACUCCGAGUGUAGAGGUGAAAUUCGUAGAUAUUCGGAAGAACACCAGUGGCGAAGGCGGCUCACUGGCCCGGUACUGACGCUGAUGUGCGAAAGCGUGGGGAGCAAACAGG